This 475-nucleotide ribosomal RNA is filed under the name uncultured organism. Its description in RNAcentral is "partial 16S ribosomal RNA". It matches the Rfam family "Bacterial small subunit ribosomal RNA", at positions 335 to 801 of the family's 1533-position model. The record is from RNAcentral.
ACUCCUACGGGAGGCAGCAGUGGGGAAUUUUGGACAAUGGGCGAAAGCCUGAUCCAGCAAUGCCGCGUGAGUGAAGAAGGCCUUCGGGUUGUAAAGCUCUUUUGUCAGGGAAGAAACGGUGAAAGCUAAUAUCUUUUGCUAAUGACGGUACCUGAAGAAUAAGCACCGGCUAACUACGUGCCAGCAGCCGCGGUAAUACGUAGGGUGCAAGCGUUAAUCGGAAUUACUGGGCGUAAAGCGUGCGCAGGCGGUUUUGUAAGUCUGAUGUGAAAUCCCCGGGCUCAACCUGGGAAUUGCAUUGGAGACUGCAAGGCUAGAAUCUGGCAGAGGGGGGUAGAAUUCCACGUGUAGCAGUGAAAUGCGUAGAUAUGUGGAGGAACACCGAUGGCGAAGGCAGCCCCCUGGGUCAAGAUUGACGCUCAUGCACGAAAGCGUGGGGAGCAAACAGGAUUAGAAACCCCUGUAGUCCCAUGAU